RNAcentral lists this ribosomal RNA (1343 nucleotides) under uncultured bacterium. RNAcentral describes it as "16S ribosomal RNA". It matches the Rfam family "Bacterial small subunit ribosomal RNA", at positions 28 to 1378 of the family's 1533-position model. The record is from RNAcentral.
GACGAACGCUGGCGGCGUGCUUAACACAUGCAAGUCGAACGGAAAGGCCCUGCUUUUGUGGGGUGCUCGAGUGGCGAACGGGUGAGUAACACGUGAGUAACCUGCCCUUGACUUUGGGAUAACUUCAGGAAACUGGGGCUAAUACCGGAUAGGAGCUCCUGCUGCAUGGUGGGGGUUGGAAAGUUUCGGCGGUUGGGGAUGGACUCGCGGCUUAUCAGCUUGUUGGUGGGGUAGUGGCUUACCAAGGCUUUGACGGGUAGCCGGCCUGAGAGGGUGACCGGCCACAUUGGGACUGAGAUACGGCCCAGACUCCUACGGGAGGCAGCAGUGGGGAAUAUUGCACAAUGGGCGGAAGCCUGAUGCGGCAACGCCGCGUGCGGGAUGACGGCCUUCGGGUUGUAAACCGCUUUCGCCUGUGACGAAGCGUGAGUGACGGUAAUGGGUAAAGAAGCACCGGCUAACUACGUGCCAGCAGCCGCGGUGAUACGUAGGGUGCGAGCGUUGUCCGGAUUUAUUGGGCGUAAAGGGCUCGUAGGUGGUUGAUCGCGUCGGAAGUGUAGUCUUGGGGCUUAACCCUGAGCGUGCUUUCGAUACGGGUUGACUUGAGGAAGGUAGGGGAGAAUGGAAUUCCUGGUGGAGCGGUGGAAUGCGCAGAUAUCAGGAGGAACACCAGUGGCGAAGGCGGUUCUCUGGGCCUUUCCUGACGCUGAGGAGCGAAAGCGUGGGGAGCGAACAGGCUUAGAUACCCUGGUAGUCCACGCUGUAAACGGUGGGUACUAGGUGUGGGGUCCAUUCCACGGGUUCCGUGCCGUAGCUAACGCUUUAAGUACCCCGCCUGGGGAGUACGGCCGCAAGGCUAAAACUCAAAGGAAUUGACGGGGCCCCGCACAAGCGGCGGAGCAUGCGGAUUAAUUCGAUGCAACGCGUAGAACCUUACCUGGGUUUGACAUGGAUCGGGAGCGCUCAGAGAUGGGUGUGCCUCUUUUGGGGUCGGUUCACAGGUGGUGCAUGGCUGUCGUCAGCUCGUGUCGUGAGAUGUUGGGUUAAGUCCCGCAACGAGCGCAACCCUUGUUCACUGUUGCCAGCACGUUAUGGUGGGGACUCAGUGGAGACCGCCGGGGUCAACUCGGAGGAAGGUGGGGAUGACGUCAAGUCAUCAUGCCCCUUAUGUCCAGGGCUUCACGCAUGCUACAAUGGCUGGUACAGAGAGUGGCGAGCCUGUGAGGGUGAGCGAAUCUCGGAAAGCCGGUCUCAGUUCGGAUUGGGGUCUGCAACUCGACCUCAUGAAGUCGGAGUCGCUAGUAAUCGCAGAUCAGCAACGCUGCGGUGAAUACGUUCCCGGG